RNAcentral lists this ribosomal RNA (492 nucleotides) under uncultured bacterium. RNAcentral describes it as "partial 16S ribosomal RNA". It matches the Rfam family "Bacterial small subunit ribosomal RNA", at positions 30 to 507 of the family's 1533-position model. The record is from RNAcentral.
AUUGAACGCUGGCGGCAUGCUUUACACAUGCAAGUCGAACGGUAACAGGCCUUCGGGUGCUGACGAGUGGCGAACGGGUGAGUAAUGCAUCGGAACGUGCCCAGAGGUGGGGGAUAACGCAGCGAAAGCUGUGCUAAUACCGCAUGUGAUCUGAGGAUGAAAGCGGGGGACCAGGCAGCAAUGUUUGGCCUCGCGCCUUUGGAGCGGCCGAUGUCAGAUUAGGUAGUUGGUGGGGUAAAGGCCUACCAAGCCGACGAUCUGUAGCUGGUCUGAGAGGACGACCAGCCACACUGGGACUGAGACACGGCCCAGACUCCUACGGGAGGCAGCAGUAGGGAAUUUUGGACAAUGGGCGCAAGCCUGAUCCAGCAAUGCCGCGUGCGGGAAGAAGGCCUUCGGGUUGUAAACCGCUUUUGUACGGAACGAAAAGGCUCUGGCUAAUACCUGGGGCUGAUGACGGUACCGUAAGAAUAAGCACCGGCUAACUACGUG